UAUAUAAAUACUUAAUAAUAAUUAUAAACUGUAAAAAUAUAAAUAUUUUAUAAAAAUAAAAUUUACAAGUUUUAAUAUAUAUUACUUUUAAAAAAUAAAUCAUCCCGCGGUAUACCGCAGGUUAAAAUCUAGUUUUCUUUUUAAAGUUAGAAGU
Molecule: small RNA, 154 nt
Filed under: Arabidopsis thaliana (thale cress)
Lineage: Eukaryota; Viridiplantae; Streptophyta; Magnoliopsida; Brassicales; Brassicaceae
Description: ATSL259680
Source: RNAcentral